Molecule: ribosomal RNA, 472 nt
Filed under: uncultured bacterium
Lineage: Bacteria
Description: bacterial SSU rRNA
Rfam family: Bacterial small subunit ribosomal RNA
Source: RNAcentral
CUCUUUCACUCCUACGGGAGGCAGCAGUGGGGAAUAUUGCACAAUGGGCGCAAGCCUGAUGCAGCCAUGCCGCGUGUGUGAAGAAGGCCUUCGGGUUGUAAAGCACUUUCAGUCGUGAGGAAGGUAGUGUAGUUAAUAGCUGCAUUAUUUGACGUUAGCGACAGAAGAAGCACCGGCUAACUCCGUGCCAGCAGCCGCGGUAAUACGGAGGGUGCGAGCGUUAAUCGGAAUUACUGGGCGUAAAGCGCAUGCAGGUGGUUUGUUAAGUCAGAUGUGAAAGCCCGGGGCUCAACCUCGGAAUUGCAUUUGAAACUGGCAGACUAGAGUACUGUAGAGGGGGUAGAAUUUCAGGUGUAGCGGUGAAAUGCGUAGAGAUCUGAAGGAAUACCGGUGGCGAAGGCGGCCCCCUGGACAGAUACUGACACUCAGAUGCGAAAGCGUGGGGAGCAAACAGGAUUAGAUACCCUGGUAG